Molecule: long non-coding RNA, 202 nt
Filed under: Mytilus galloprovincialis (Mediterranean mussel)
Lineage: Eukaryota; Metazoa; Mollusca; Bivalvia; Mytilida; Mytilidae
Source: RNAcentral
GGGAAACGCAUUAAAUAUUAGAGGAAAACGACGACACAACAUUAACAUGUAACGCACACAGCAAAGGACUAAGCAUUAGAAAAAAUCCGAUGAGAAUAACCAAUAUAACAUCAAAACCAAAUACAUGAAUUUGGGAUAGAAAAGUCCCGUGAAACGUCUUAUAGUAAUGUGAAUUCACACUCAAAUAUAGGAGAAAACAAAC